GCGUUCCAAGUUCGGGGAAUGGGUUUUCCCUCAAGGGUCUCCAGUCGGUAGGCUCUCGGACCGUAGGUGUCUGCUACCUUGUAGGGUCCUUCCCAAUUGGGAGCCAGCUUCCCUUGGUCCAAGGGCUUUGACACUUCUGCCUUCCUCAAGACCAAGUCGCCAGGCCUGAAAAGCUUUGGUCUGACCCUGGCGUUGUAAUACCGAGCGACCC
RNAcentral lists this long non-coding RNA (211 nucleotides) under Elaeis guineensis (African oil palm). RNAcentral describes it as "long non-coding RNA (EGUI_LNC082587)". Lineage: Eukaryota; Viridiplantae; Streptophyta; Magnoliopsida; Arecales; Arecaceae. The record is from RNAcentral.